RNAcentral lists this long non-coding RNA (340 nucleotides) under Lathyrus oleraceus (garden pea). RNAcentral describes it as "Pisum sativum (pea) long non-coding RNA (PSAT_LNC019418)". The record is from RNAcentral. Lineage: Eukaryota; Viridiplantae; Streptophyta; Magnoliopsida; Fabales; Fabaceae.
UUCGGGUAAGACUUUUUUGGGAAAGUGGGUGUAAAGCUUUGAAGUUAGGUACAUAGUUCUCAUAUUGCUAUCAUACCAACUCUUUUCCUGAUUAAUAAUACUAGAGAUAUCGCUAUUGUGGUCAUCAAUAUUCAUUUUGCAUUCUUUUUUUUUUUUUUUUGAAGAAGUUAAUUUUAACUUCUUAUUUUCUCUUUUUUUUUUGAAAUUUUGACGGUUUUUUCUCUAGUACCCCAACCCUAAUCUUAAACCUUGCUCACUUCCAAGAGCAACCCCAAACUUAUUUGAUUUCAUACAAUUUUAGAACUAAUUUUUUUGUCUAACUCCAAAGAGAGGGUGUAAA